UUUUGUCUCAGGACUCGUUUGCACAGGUGUUCAACAUUCACUCUCAUGGUGAUGAUGAUGAUGAGGAAGCUGCUGCACCUGGUCAGAACCAGGCGGCGUGGACUCAAACACGAACUGAGACGACAGAUGAUCUUCAUCCUCACUGUCCCCCACAAAUGUUCCAGCUGCUGCAGUGUUGUAGCUGCGCUGCCUCUCCAGUUCACCUCUGCACCGUAGCCUUAAGGAAAUGGCUUUUGGACUCGAUGCCAGGGGUGCUGCCAGAGGGAGGAAAAGGGCGAGUACUCUGAUGAAUCUCGAUGAAGGUCAAAAGUCACAUUUCGUCAGGAGACAGGUGAGAAAAAAAAAGAGCCUCCCCCUUGUGCACAAGAAAACCGGUCAGAAGUCACCUCCAUUUACAGUGUCGUCGUUAUUUGCAGGAAGUGACACGUGUCACAUCAGAGAUUCUGCCGGCGCAGGCGAGCGAGCCGCCGGGUCGUCGGGUCACCUCAGCGACGCCCACCGACUUAUAACCAAUCAGAACCCGGGGACGGAGCUUAUCAGGUGAGGCUUGAUGGACACCACAUGUAACACAUAACUGCAUCAUUUAAAGGAUCAGGUCACCAGAAUCACAAAUGUAUUUCUCACUUACACUUAACUCUUGGUAAUUAAUGAAGCUUUUCUUUUCUGGUCAUCUGAAGUGUUUUAGAGGGAAAAAUCAUUUUGCCUUGUUUAUAUUAUUCUUUUUAAUCUGUGAAAAAAAGUUUUUGCAAGUACAAUCUUUCGAAGAGUCUCUCAUUUUUUGCCAUCUGAGGUAAAAAAGGGAAAAAAAAUUCCUGAAAGUUUUUCUAAAGAAAUUUCUUGAGGAAUAUUUGGAGAAAGGAUUCUUGAGAAUUUUUGGAAAAAAUAUUUUGAGGAACUUUUUUUUUUUUGCACUCAGGUUUCAGGAAACCAAAACAGAUUCAUAAUACAUUUUCUCAAGAAUCUUUUUUCCAAAACUUGAGUGAAUGUUUUAAUGUUUUACUUAUUUAUCUAUUAUAAUCUUUCUAAGUUCCUUAUUUAUCUGUUUUUCUUCUUUGAGAACACUAGAAAAAAAAAAUUCUGAACAUUUUGAGGAAAAGAAAUCCUGAAACAUUUGUAGAAACAUUCCUGAUCAUAAAAUACUGAACCUAUCCUUACGAAACAACAUCUUUCUCUCUUGAAAAUUAUUUUUCAUGAGAAUAUUUUUUUUUGUGUGAAAAAAGAUUCUCAACAAUCUUUGGGAAAAGGAUUCUUGAAAAUUUAUGCGAAAAAAUCCUGUAAUUUAUGGAAAGAAGAUUCCUGAAAUUUAGUGGGAAAAAUUCUUGAAAUUAUUUAUUUUUUGGGGAAAUAAAUUGCUGAACAAAAAAACAAUCUCUUCUUUUCCACUUGAAAAUGCUUUUUUGGGGGGGAAAAAAGAUACUUCGGAAGAUUUUUCCCCAAGAUUCUCAGGAAAGUUUUUUCAAAAGAUUCUGAGGAAAGUUUUUCCGGGAGAAAAGAAAUUUCCAUACCUUUUUGGAGCACUAUCAAGCAUGCUCUAGCAUGUUUAAAACUUUUUUUUUCUCAGUAAAAAGAAUUCCUUAAAUUGUGAGAAAAGGAUUUCUUUUCAUGUGUGAAACUGAGUGAAAAAAACAUUUUCAGAAGAAAAAAGAUCAAGUUAAUCUUUCAAAGUUUUUUCAUCAGAAUCAGAAGAAAGUUUUUACAUGUGAGAAACUUGAAGAAUUCAGCAGAUCUUUUUUUUUGUCAUGUUUCACACAUCAAAUACUUUUAUUCAUGAAUUUCCACAGAUGGAAAAAAAUAUUGGGGAAUUUAAAGAUUAUCAUGGCAAAACUUUUUUUUUGUUUUAAAGUAAUACACACAGGUGAGAAAAUAGUUUAGCUUUUAUGUGAUCAGGAUCAGAGACAUCUGCCCGUUAAACUUCUGCUGCCACCCCUAAAAAAGUCUCUCCAUCAGCGACGUCUCUGAGUCUAAAUGAUCCACAAACUGCACAGUGGACAGAUUUUGUCGGAGCUACUUCUGUUAUAUAUAAAUUAUGUAUAUAUGUCAAUAAUGCAAUGUUAAGGAGUCAUUGAAUGAAGUCAAAGAAGAAUUUCGGUUAUCUUUAUUGUGUUUGGAUGGCAGCAGCAGCAGCUCAACAUCUCUAAACCUGGACAAAAAUGUCUCCAUGAGAGGUCCAACGCUGAUUCAAAAAGCUGGGACACCGUGUGAAACGUAAAGCAAAACAGAAUACGAGCAUUGGAGCUUCUGUUGCUCCUGUCCCAUCUUAUUUGAAACUAAAAUUCAGAUUAAGUGUAAAACUCAUGAAACUCAUAGGAAACAUUAACUAUAUUGUCUUUGUACUGUUCUCAGUUGAGUCCAUGUAAAAAAAGGAUUAGCAAACGAUCAUAUUCUGUUUUAUCUGUUUUACGCAGCAUCCCAACUUCCUCUGGGUUCUGGGUUGUAAGUGAGAAAAGGUUUGUGAUUCACAUGACAUUUGUGUUACGUUACUUUUAGAUCCUUACAACCCUGCAAAAAAACCAAACAUUUGGGCUCUUUAUUCCAAAAUCACACGGGCAUCAAUGAAGAACGGUAACAGUUUUUUUUUUUUUCCUCGCUGUAGAACUUGGCAGGCAGAUCCCCAACAAAUCGUGUGCUGCUGUGACAAUAUUACGAGCUUAUACUGUGAGCGUUUUUAGGUCCAACUUGAACGAGAGUGUGUCUGGUUCGUCGGGGCGACACACGCUGUUCUGUCUUUGUGGUAAAAUCAGCACGUCGUGUCGUUUUUUAAUAAUGCAAUAAAACAAAUGGGUGUUUCUUCAGGUAACUCAACUCACUGGCAGUGCUGAAGAUGACACAUGACCCGGCACGGCCUCGUGAGCGCAACACUUUUUCACAGACGUGUCCGCUCCGCAAAGCAGAGCUGUGCUUUCACAGUACAUGUUGUAGAUCCUCUGGUGUCCCACUUGAGAGUGAAGAGUCCCGGCAGG
Acanthopagrus latus (yellowfin seabream) is the source of this 2960-nucleotide long non-coding RNA. RefSeq lists it as uncharacterized. The transcript has 3 exons. Lineage: Eukaryota; Metazoa; Chordata; Actinopteri; Spariformes; Sparidae. The record is from RefSeq and is a predicted model, not a curated record.